This 166-nucleotide ribosomal RNA is filed under the name uncultured bacterium. RNAcentral describes it as "partial 16S rRNA". It matches the Rfam family "Bacterial small subunit ribosomal RNA", at positions 355 to 511 of the family's 1533-position model. The record is from RNAcentral.
UAGGGAAUCUUCGGCAAUGGACGAAAGUCUGACCGAGCAACGCCGCGUGAGUGAAGAAGGUUUUUCGGAUCGUAAAACUCUGUUGGUAGAGAAGAACGUCGGUGAGAGUGGAAAGCUCAUCAAGUGACGGUAACUACCCAGAAAGGGACGGCUAACUACGUGCCGG